Molecule: ribosomal RNA, 453 nt
Filed under: uncultured bacterium
Lineage: Bacteria
Description: bacterial SSU rRNA
Rfam family: Bacterial small subunit ribosomal RNA
Source: RNAcentral
ACGAACGCUGGCGGCGUGCUUAACACAUGCAAGUCGCACGGGCCCGCAAGGGUCAGUGGCGAACGGGUGCGUAACACGUGAGGAACCUGUCCAACGGUGGGGGAUAGCCGGUCCAACGACCGGGUAAUACCGCGUACGACCUUCGAGGGGCAUCCCUUGAUGGUGAAAGCAGCAAUGCACCGGUGGAGGGCCUCGCGGCCUAUCAGCUAGUUGGUGAGGUAAUGGCUCACCAAGGCGACGACGGGUAGCUGGUCCGAGAGGAUGACCAGCCACAUUGGGACUGAGACACGGCCCAGACUCCUACGGGAGGCAGCAGUGGGGAAUAUUGCGCAAUGGGCGAAAGCCUGACGCAGCGACGCCGCGUGUGGGAUGACGGCCUUCGGGUUGUAAACCACUGUCGGGAGGGACGAAACCAAUGACGGUACCUCCAAAGGAAGCACCGGCUAACUCUGU